GUCAGAGGAUCGAAGACGAUCAGAUACCGUCCUAGUUCUAACCAUAAACGAUGUCGACUAGGGAUCGGCGGGCGUUAAUCGCAUGUGUCAAUCUAAUCACUGUAGUAAGAAUCCAAGAUGAAGAGCAAAUAUACCUUAUUAAUGUCUAUCAGUAUGUAGUUUACUAUUUACGAAUCCCCCAGAAACCUCUAAGUUUAAUUGAAGUGAGUUUCUUUGGAAAGAAUAGAAUCUGGAU
Molecule: ribosomal RNA, 235 nt
Filed under: Clytia hemisphaerica
Lineage: Eukaryota; Metazoa; Cnidaria; Hydrozoa; Leptothecata; Clytiidae
Description: eukaryotic small subunit ribosomal RNA
Source: RNAcentral